UUCCCUGUAGCGUAAUGGAUAGCGCGCGCGAGUUGGACUUCUAAUCCAAAGGUGGUGGGUUCGAAUACUACCUGGGAUG
Trichonephila clavipes is the source of this 79-nucleotide non-coding RNA. Lineage: Eukaryota; Metazoa; Arthropoda; Arachnida; Araneae; Nephilidae. The record is from the annotation of a GenBank genome assembly.